This is a long non-coding RNA of Papaver somniferum (opium poppy), 549 nucleotides long. RefSeq lists it as uncharacterized. The transcript has 4 exons. The record is from RefSeq and is a predicted model, not a curated record. Lineage: Eukaryota; Viridiplantae; Streptophyta; Magnoliopsida; Ranunculales; Papaveraceae.
UCCUAUGUGUUAGAAUACCCGUACAUUUUCUGCAUCAGCCGGUGGCGAGGCCUUCUGUAAUGGACAGACAAGCCAUGUUAGCGAAACUGAUCGGGUGGAUAGAUCUCUUCUAGUGACUGAAUUUGGAUAUGAACAUGAUGAUGCAUGGGCAACAAAUAUAUAUUUAAAUAAUUUACUGAUAUCAGCAGGGUCUUGCGUAUUGAAUGCCAAACGCCGGAAUUACAUGAACUGGUAACUUUGUCUAAGCUCAUCAUAUGGUAUUAUUGAGAAGUUAAGCUUGGUUUUAUUUGUUCGCAGCUCACAGUGUUGAUGGCUUUAGAUUAUUUACGGUUAAAUUUUUGUACUUGGGUUUCUGUAAUGAAUACAUGGAUCACAGUAUAAUGUGGAUGAUUUGUAGAUUGAGAAUCGGAGUGUAUAUGAAAAAGAAGAAAGUGCAGGUCUGUGUGUCAGUUUUAAUUGUAUUACUGGAAGCCCAUUUAAUUGUAUUGCAGGCCUUUAAACUGGAAGCCCAGGUCCACCAUAGUGACCCGGGCUAUCCAUAUUUUUUUA